RNAcentral lists this long non-coding RNA (1209 nucleotides) under Ursus maritimus (polar bear). Its description in RNAcentral is "lncRNA (ENSUMAG00000012052.1)". The record is from RNAcentral. Lineage: Eukaryota; Metazoa; Chordata; Mammalia; Carnivora; Ursidae.
GUCCUCCCUGCCCGCUCCCUCGGAUGGCGUGGAAUCGUGGGCUUGCGGAUCAAAGGUGGGCAUCUGCGGGAAGGCAGCCAGGCAGGAUGGAAGUCAGCGCUCCUUCACGGGGCCGUGAGAAACCCCUCAAAACUCCCCAGGAAGAGGCCGUGCAGGGGGAGAGAGGCCUUAUGGCCGAUGGCAGACUUGUUGAAGCCUUUCCUUGUUGAAGAGCAUUAAAACAAGCCAUUCAAUUUUAUGUUUCUUACUGGAGUCCCAAUCUACUGCUAUAGUGAUGAGUAUCUUCAUCUUACAGAGAAGAUCAUUAAGGGGCUCUGCAAAACAUUGGUGCUUACUCACAAUUUCCUCUGUCCGCAUCACCCCCAACUUCAGGCAAAGUAGAAAGGAUGGAUGAAAUUUUCAGAAACGCUCGAAUUUCCCUGGCCUCAAAUCCUGCCCUGGCCAUACUGACAAGAAGAUCAAUUCCUUUGAGAACAUGUCAGUUCUCUAUUCAUGAUGGUAACAGGCCUACCCCGGCACUAGGACUUCACCUCUAAUCGUAGACUCUGCCCUAUUAGAAGCAGUAGUAAGCACAUACUGAAGGGAUCCAUCCAACCUGUCAGUUUUAUGAUUAAUAUCCUCCUAAUCCAUCCUUGUACAACCUACAACUUGGUUUUCUAGAAGAGACAUCACAGAGAGGCAGCCCAUGGAACAUGAUGGAAAAACACUUCUCUGCUAUUGCUGACACCUAGUAAAGCAGUAAAACUUCAGGAGUUUGAUUUUUGGAUCUAUGCUUCCCAAUUAAAGGAACACAAAUCAUCCCUGGCAUCUGGAAAGCCAUCCCAAAGAGAAAUUUCCCAGUGAAGACUCUUAAGAAUCCUCCAGAAACAGAAGAUCUUCAGGAGACUCUAGUCUGAGGCCUUCAAAGUAGAAGACAGCAUGGUAUAGACAGUUUAUUCUUCCACGUCUUCGGAGGAAGGCCAUCCAGAUAUCUCUGGAGCCACAGGUGAACAUACUCUCCUUUGUCCAGAACUCUUACUUUAAUUUUUGCCUAUUUCUUUCCACUUGGCAGUUUUGCAGUCAUGGUUCACUGAGAGCAUAGCAGCUGCUCCAUAACGUAGGUCUUAUUGAGGAGACGUCUUCGGUCACUGUCCUGUUUUGUGUUGUUUUUCUUCCCGAAGGAGAUGUCAGGGGGUUCUCCACCUCUGUCAAUUGGCACCUACACCUUCA